UACGUAGGUGGCAAGCGUUGUCCGGAAUUACUGGGCGUAAAGCGCACGUAGGCGGCUUUUUAAGUCGGGGGUGAAAUCCUGGAGCUCAACUCCAGAACUGCCUUCGAUACUGGAAAGCUCGAGUCCGGGAGAGGUGAGUGGAACUGCGAGUGUAGAGGUGAAAUUCGUAGAUAUUCGCAAGAACACCAGUGGCGAAGGCGGCUCACUGGCCCGGUACUGACGCUGAGGUGCGAAAGCGUGGGGAGCAAACAGG
This 253-nucleotide ribosomal RNA is filed under the name uncultured bacterium. Its description in RNAcentral is "partial 16S ribosomal RNA". It matches the Rfam family "Bacterial small subunit ribosomal RNA", at positions 524 to 776 of the family's 1533-position model. The record is from RNAcentral.